ACCAAAUGUUCGCUUUAUGCUGUUUGAUGACUCUAUUUUGCACAUAGACUUCACAUGUUUUCCAGUAUGUUUCUUUUGGUGCAUAAGUUAUGGAGGAUGUUAUGUCUUGCACUUCCUGGAAUUUGUUGAAGUGGGUACAGGUUGGCUAUAUAAUACUUGAAGUACAUUGCAAGAGAAAGAUAUGGGGUUAAAUCCAAGUGCACUCUAAGAGAAAGAUAUGAGGUUAUGUAAAAAGUAAUGCUUUUCUGUUCUCACCAAUUUUUGCGACUGCAACACUUGUUUUGGUUUCAUAUGCAGCUUUGCCGCUUGAUUCAUUAAAUUCUUUAUAUUCAAAGACAGAUCAGAUCAGAUCAUCAUUAUGACUAUUUGCAGCAAUUUCACCAGAUACACCAUUCAUUACACGCUGUUUAGGCCAAUAACAUUUAUGUACCUUUUAUACUAGCAACAUUACAGGCUGUUUAGGCCAAUAACAUUUAUGUACCUUUUAUACUAGCAACAAUUGAAGUAACCAACCUUACCCCAAAAAAAAAAAAAGAAAGAAACAAAAGUAACCAACUAAAAUUCCGGGGG
RNAcentral lists this long non-coding RNA (570 nucleotides) under Elaeis guineensis (African oil palm). RNAcentral describes it as "long non-coding RNA (EGUI_LNC000921)". The record is from RNAcentral. Lineage: Eukaryota; Viridiplantae; Streptophyta; Magnoliopsida; Arecales; Arecaceae.